GGGGACAAAGAAACCGGUCCCAUAGGGGUCAGUGCAAGGGGGGGGGCUGCUGCAACCCCAGGAACCCCCCCCCAGCGAACGGCACCGGGGCACGGGGUAGGUGACGCCCCAUGUAACCCCACCCAGCCCCCGUAAAACUCCCAUAAUAAGCCCCCCCCCUUCCCAUGCUCCCUACCACUGCGCCCACAGAGCCCCCCCCCAUUCCUGGGGUCGGUGUUGGGUGCUCAGUGGGGACACCCCAUGGCGCACACCCCCAGCGGGGGUUGGGGGGGGGCUUUCCAAGCCUGGGCCCUGCUCCUGACCCAACGUCCCUGCUGUGUCCGUCCUGUUGUGUCCCGUCCCAUCCCCAUCCCAUAAUAACCCACACAUCGGAACCCCAACUCCAUCCCCCCACCCUCUUCUAUUCUCAUCCCAUCCCCAUUGUGUCCCCGUUCCCAUCCCAUCCCAUAUAUUCCAUGUCCCACCCCCAUCCCAUCCCAUCCCAUCCCAUCCCAUCCCAUCCCAUCCCAUCCCAUCCCAUUCCAUCCCAAAUCCCUUCAUCCCAUCCCAAACACUACACGUACCCAUAAAUCCCACCCCCACCUUCUUCCCCACCCCAUCCCAUCCCCAUUCUCACCCUUAUCCUACCCCAUCCUCAUCCCAUAUCCACAUCCACACCCAUAUCCAUCCCAAUCCUGACCCCAAUCCCAAUCCCCACCCCAUCCCAAAUUCAUCUCCUCUCCAUCCCAUCCCCAUCAUCUUUUCCAUUCCCAUCUCACCCCCAUCCCACCCCACCUGCAUCUUCACCCUUAUCUCAUCCCAUCCCCAUGCCAUUCCCGUUCCCAUUCCCAUUCCCAUUCCCAUUCCCAUCCCAUCCCCAUCUCUAUUCCAUCCCAAUCCUAAUCCCAAUCCCAAACCCAUCCCCACCCCAAAUCCCCAUCCCAUUCCAUCCACACCCCAUCCUCAUCCUAUCUUCAUCCUUAUCUCAUUCCAUCCCCAUCCCAUCCCAUCCCAACCCCAUUCCAUCCCAAUCUCAUUCCAAUCCCCAUCCCAUCUACGUGCCACCCCCAUCCUAUUCCAUCCUCAUCCCCAUCUUCAUCCUUAUCUCAUCCCAUCCCCAUCCCAAACCCAUCCCCAUCCCGUCCCAACCCCACUUCCAUUCCCAUUCCCAUCCCCAUCCCCAUCCCAAUCCCAUUCCAAUCCCAUUCCCACUCCAAUCC
This 1199-nucleotide long non-coding RNA is filed under the name Numida meleagris (helmeted guineafowl). RNAcentral describes it as "lncRNA (ENSNMEG00000002607.1)". The record is from RNAcentral. Lineage: Eukaryota; Metazoa; Chordata; Aves; Galliformes; Numididae.